AACGAACGCUGGCGGCAUGCCUAACACAUGCAAGUCGAACGGAAAGGCCCUGCUUUUGUGCGCUGCUCGAGGGGAGAACGGGGAAGUAACACGUGAGUAACGUGCCCUUGACUUUAGGAUAAGUUCAGGAAGCUGGGGCUAAUACCAUAUAGGAUCUCCCGCUGCAUGGUGGGCGUGGGAUAGUUUCGCCUGUUGGGGAUGGACUGGCCGCUUAUGGGCUUGCUUGUUGGGUGGUGGCUUACCAAGGCCUUGACGGGUCGCCGGCCUGAGAGGGUGAACGGCCACAUUACGACUGCGAUACGGCCCAGACUCCAACGGUAGGCAACAGUGGGGAAGAUUGCACAAUGGGCGGGGGCCUGAUGCAGCCACGCCGCGUGCGGGAUGACGGCCUGCGGGUUGUAAACCGCUUUCGCCUGUGACGAAGCGUUAGUGACGGUACCGGGUAAAGAAGCACCGGCUAACUACGUG
Molecule: ribosomal RNA, 468 nt
Filed under: uncultured bacterium
Lineage: Bacteria
Description: partial 16S ribosomal RNA
Rfam family: Bacterial small subunit ribosomal RNA
Source: RNAcentral